ACGGGAGGCAGCAGUGGGGAAUAUUGCACAAUGGGGGAAACCCUGAUGCAGCGACGCCGCGUGGGUGAAGAAGUUUUUCGGAAUGUAAAGCCCUAUCAGCAGGGAAGAUAAUGACGGUACCUGACUAAGAAGCCCCGGCUAACUACGUGCCAGCAGCCGCGGUAAUACGUAUGGAGCAAGCGUUAUCCGGAUUUACUGGGUGUAAAGGGUGCGUAGGCGGCAUGGCAAGUCAGAUGUGAAAGACCGGGGCCCAACUCCGGGGCUGCAUUUGAAACUGCCAGGCUGGAGUACAGGAGAGGCAGGCGGAAUUCCUAGUGUAGCGGUGAAAUGCGUAGAUAUUAGGAGGAACACCAGUGGCGAAGGCGGCCUGCUGGACUGUUACUGACGCUGAGGCACGAAAGCGUGGGGAGCAAACAGGAUUAGAUACCCUGGUA
This 434-nucleotide ribosomal RNA is filed under the name uncultured bacterium. Its description in RNAcentral is "partial 16S ribosomal RNA". It matches the Rfam family "Bacterial small subunit ribosomal RNA", at positions 341 to 792 of the family's 1533-position model. The record is from RNAcentral.